Molecule: long non-coding RNA, 682 nt
Filed under: Homo sapiens (human)
Lineage: Eukaryota; Metazoa; Chordata; Mammalia; Primates; Hominidae
Description: PREDICTED lncRNA (TCONS_00247545)
Source: RNAcentral
CUAGCCUCCAAGACAGCCCCGCCGCCAGAACAGCCUCUCCUCCAGGACCGGCCAGCCUACGAGAGAGCCCCGCCUACGGUACAACCCGCCUCCGGGACCGCAGGACUCCACCUCCGAGACAGCUCAGUCCCCAGGACAGUCCCGCCUCCGAGACGGCCCCGCCUCCAGGACGGCCCCUACCUCCGAGACCGCCCCGCCUCCGGGACCGCCCCGCCCCGCCUCGCCUCCGACACGUCCCCCGGGCGCCACUGCAGAGCCUGUCCGUCAGUCCCUAGGUAUCCGCACUGCUCAGGGGAGGAUUCCCUGGGAGCACCCACCAGCUGAGAUCUGCACAUCAGCCACAAUCCUCUCAGGACGGCGGAAAGGGAAGGGCUCAGCCGCCAGCCUGGCCACAGCCUGCAUCAUCUCAUCCCAGAGGCGGAGCACAGGCUCGGGGUCCUUCAGGGCCUGAAGGAGGUAGAGCCCGGUACUCACCCAGCAAUCAUUGUUGCCUGACAAAAGUCACAGAGAAGGCUCAGUUCUUCCUUCCUAUGAGGAUUCCCUGGGAGCACCCACCAGCUGAGAUCUGCACAUCAGCCACAAUCCUCUCAGGACGGCGGAAAGGGAAGGGCUCAGCCGCCAGCCUGGCCACAGCCUGCAUCAUCUCAUCCCAGAGGCGGAGCACAGGCUCGGGGUCCUUCAG